AUGAGCUCUUUCUUUUGUUGCAAACUCAGAGAACUGAAAGACUAUUUUUCUGUGGUUCUUGGUGUUGAUCAGGUUCCUCGUGGAAAACCUUACCCUGACAUAUAUCUGGAAGCUGCAAACAGACUAGGUGUAAAUCCAUCAUCAUGCUUGGUCAUAGAAGAUUCUCUUGUUGGAAUCCGGGGUGCCAAGGCUUCUGGGGCAAAGGUAGUCGCUGUUCCAUCACUCCAAACUGAAAAGCAACAUUACUCAAUUGCCGAUCAUGUCCUCUGUUCACUGCUGGACUUCCAUCCUGAACUAUGGGGUCUUCCUCCAUUUGACGAUCGCAUUCAAGGUGCAUUGCCCAUGGAUCCAUUGUACUCAAAUGCUCACAUAGGAAAUGUGAUCUCAAACAAUAUUCAUAUGAUAGUAGCAGGUGAACAUACCUACGACUCUGUUCCUGGCCAAUUAUCAGGAAUUGUUUUUGGUUGGGCCAAGUUAGAACCACAUGGAGUAUCUACGGUGGUUGUCAGCAUUGGGUGGGACAUUUCGCCGCCGGCUGUUGGAAGAGUGAUGCACAUAUGUUUUCUUGAUCCCUGCUGCAAUGCCAAAUCAGGGGAGCCACUUGAGCUACUGUUAGUUGGUUACAUCCGGGAGCUCCAAAGCACGGGAAGUACUACAUCUCAAGCAUUGAGCAUUACUGAGGAAGACCAAAGCAUCGCGAGGGAUGCACUGAACCUCCCAGCCUUCUCCGAACUAGAGGAGCUAACGCUCUUCAGUGCGCCUGGGAAGGAAUCAUCCGAGUGA
RNAcentral lists this ribosomal RNA (783 nucleotides) under Triticum aestivum (bread wheat). RNAcentral's name for it is "partial small subunit ribosomal RNA". Lineage: Eukaryota; Viridiplantae; Streptophyta; Magnoliopsida; Poales; Poaceae. The record is from RNAcentral.